AGAAGGAAAACAAUCCUAUUGACAAGUAGAUGUCCUAAGUCCCACCUAUUUCUAAUGUAGCUCAAUUUCCGAGAAGAUAAUUUCCCUUGACACUAUUAGACUGGAGAUCCACAUUAGUCAUGCAUUUUGAGAACUCCCAAAGGCAAUCCCAUUUAUAUAGAAAAAGUCCCUCCAAACCAAGCAACUAAAUUUCCGAAAAAACACAUGAAACCAACUUUAUAAUGCCCUAGCACUCUACCAGUAAAAUAUGUUGCUCAACCAUCAA
This 265-nucleotide unclassified non-coding RNA is filed under the name Hevea brasiliensis (rubber tree). Lineage: Eukaryota; Viridiplantae; Streptophyta; Magnoliopsida; Malpighiales; Euphorbiaceae. The record is from RNAcentral.